UCUCCUUCCACAAAUGAAAAAAUCUAGUCAAGUUAGAUUUACAAACCUCUCUUUGAAAUCACUCCAGAACUUCUUCGAACUUGAUGCAUACAUAAUUCUAGGUAACAAUUCUGGUGCCACUGUUACAUUAAUCCAUGAUAGUACAACUGCAUCACAUCUCUCCAAUCUUGCCAAAUCUCUUCUGCACGCUCUCAACAAAUCCAAGUUUGUUUUUGACUAGUAGUGCAAGACGCAUUGAUCUGCUCUA
This 247-nucleotide long non-coding RNA is filed under the name Solanum tuberosum (potato). Its description in RNAcentral is "long non-coding RNA (STUB_LNC006566)". Lineage: Eukaryota; Viridiplantae; Streptophyta; Magnoliopsida; Solanales; Solanaceae. The record is from RNAcentral.